Molecule: ribosomal RNA, 327 nt
Filed under: uncultured eukaryote
Lineage: Eukaryota
Description: partial 18S ribosomal RNA
Rfam family: Eukaryotic small subunit ribosomal RNA
Source: RNAcentral
CCCUUAGAUGUUCUGGGCCGCACGCGCGCUACACUGACGAAUGCAACGAGCUUAUAACCUUGGCCGAAAGGUCUGGGUAAUCUCCAAAUUUCGUCGUGAUGGGGAUAGAUUAUUGCAAUUAUUAAUCUUCAACGAGGAAUGCCUAGUAAGCGCAAGUCAUCAGCUUGCGUUGAUUACGUCCCUGCCCUUUGUACACACCGCCCGUCGCUCCUACCGAUUGAAUGGUCCGGUGAAGCGUUUGGACUAUGGUUUUCUGACGGUUCGCCAUUGGAUUACCGUGGGAAAUUCGUUAAACCUUAUCAUUUAGAGGAAGGAGAANUCGUANCA